RNAcentral lists this ribosomal RNA (468 nucleotides) under uncultured bacterium. RNAcentral's name for it is "partial 16S ribosomal RNA". It matches the Rfam family "Bacterial small subunit ribosomal RNA", at positions 28 to 507 of the family's 1533-position model. The record is from RNAcentral.
GACGAACGCUGGCGGCGUGCUUAACACAUGCAAGUCGAACGGAAAGGCCCUGCUUUUGUGGGGUGCUCGAGUGGCGAACGGGUGAGUAACACGUGAGUAACCUGCCCUUGACUUUGGGAUAACUUCAGGGAACUGGGGCUAAUACCGGAUAGGAGCUCCUGCUGCAUGGUGGGGGUUGGAAAGUUUCGGCGGUUGGGGAUGGACUCGCGGCUUAUCAGCUUGUUGGUGGGGUAGUGGCUUACCAAGGCUUUGACGGGCAGCCGGCCUGAGAGGGUGACCGGCCACAUUGGGACUGAGAUACGGCCCAGACUCCUACGGGAGGCAGCAGUGGGGAAUAUUGCACAAUGGGCGGAAGCCUGAUGCAGCAACGCCGCGUGCGGGAUGACGGCCUUCGGGUUGUAAACCGCUUUCGCCUGUGACGAAGCGUGAGUGACGGUAAUGGGUAAAGAAGCACCGGCUAACUACGUG